CACGCCGUAAACGAUGAGUGCUAAGUGUUGGAGGGUUUCCGCCCUUCAGUGCUGCAGCUAACGCAUUAAGCACUCCGCCUGGGGAGUACGGUCGCAAGACUGAAACUCAAAGGAAUUGACGGGGGCCCGCACAAGCGGUGGAGCAUGUGGUUUAAUUCGAAGCAACGCGAAGAACCUUACCAGGUCUUGACAUCUCCUGACCGCCCUGGAGACAGGGUCUUCCCUUCGGGGACAGGAUGACAGGUGG
RNAcentral lists this ribosomal RNA (247 nucleotides) under uncultured Caryophanales bacterium. RNAcentral's name for it is "uncultured Bacillales bacterium partial 16S ribosomal RNA". It matches the Rfam family "Bacterial small subunit ribosomal RNA", at positions 796 to 1041 of the family's 1533-position model. Lineage: Bacteria; Bacillati; Bacillota; Bacilli; Caryophanales. The record is from RNAcentral.